This is a non-coding RNA of Pelobates cultripes (western spadefoot toad), 93 nucleotides long. The record is from the annotation of a GenBank genome assembly. NCBI's taxonomy places the organism in Eukaryota, Metazoa, Chordata, Amphibia, Anura, Pelobatidae.
UAUGUGUCUGUGUGUGUCUCUGUAUGUAUGUGUGUCUCUGUAUGUGUCUGUAUGAUACAGACACAUACAUACAGAGACACACAGACACAUACA